AGAACCUGAACCCUGAAAACACGCUGCAAGAAACACGAGCAGCUCAUUCAGGUUCUAGAAUUCUCUUGGACAAAGCAUUUGAAGCUGCCUGAGCUGAAGGAAGCAACAAGAAAAAUUAACCUCGUUAACAACUACAUCUACAGAGAUACAGAGAUCCCAGAAUAUCCUCGACCUCAGUUUCAGGUCAGUUUUCUGAAACAUGAUACAACAGUAGAAGGCUUGAAAGGAAUCCGGCAGGAUGGAGGCUUUAGAGAUCCACAUGGAGGAUCUCUGGUUUGGUGGAGUCUGUCUGUGAGAGAUGAAGAUGUGGGAGCUGCAGAGAGGAAGAUGAUGGAGGAGGAGUACCGCGGUAUGAACGGGCAGAUCAACCUGAAGAGGUUCGCCACCUCCCCAGCCUUUUCUCCAAAAUCCCGGUUGGGCCACUUCCGCUUCACCUUCCCCCUGGAGGAGGUGCUAAAGGCAUACAGUCAGCAGUUCUGCAGUGGUGGUCAGCCCGUCAUGCAGGUCUAUAAGACGGUCCUUUACAAACAGGAAAUUAUGUAUGCGGUGUUGGUCCACAGUCCAGAUGAUCAGGAGGACUCGACUGAAGACCCGAACGCCGUCUGCUUCUUCAGAGACGGCAGGUUCUUGUGGAGGUCAGAGGCCAUGUGUGGGACACACCGGUAUAAGCUCAACAAAAACAACAACAGUUUAGGAGUGGAGGAGAUCCCUCCUUAUCCUCCGAAAUAUUAUGUCUGGGACAAUGUUGCCAUCGCGUUCGAUGUUGGGGAAGAGGUGCUGGAGUUUAAUGUGGAUCAGCUCAGACAGAACCUGAAGUACUGCGAGCUAGACUCUGUGACGUACAACUUCACUGACAAGCUGACUGCUGAACAAGCUGAAGAACUGAUCAGAGACUUGUGGCCAGAGUCCCCGGUGGAGAAUCUGCCCCGUCACACUGGAGACGGUGAUGCUCCUCCCCCUGAGCGUCCUUCAUAAAAACCUCAUGUAGCUCCGCCCACCUGCGGCGUCUCCUGGUCUUAUAUUUACUGUUAUCUUUGCUCUGAUUUGCUUGCUGUAACCCCCCCCCCAUCCCCACCAAUCACAGACGUGUGUGAAGUUGUUGAUUAUGCUGAUGAUUCUCUAUUAUUAGGAUCAAUAAUAAUCCUGAUGGAUUUUAUGUUGGAUGAUUUCUGAUCAUGUCUGUGUGAUCUCAUGAUGUUUUAUAUGAUUAUUCCUAAAGACAAAUAUUUGAUGUUAUUGCUUUUACUGCAUUUUGGAGUCAUUAACUGGAGUUUAAUAUUUUAAUAAUGAUUUAUUUUAACGAUUUUGAUGAAUUUAGAAGAUUUUAUUCAAAUCAAAAGGGCAAGUGUGAUGUUACCUUCUUCUCUUAAUCUUUUGGGUAAAGGUUUACUUUCUUGUUGAGGUGAAGGUUUUGUGUUCUCUGCUGUAGAUGCUAAACUCUGUUGUAGAAACCAGAAAGACUUGUUAGGAUUUAAACAAGUCUUCACUUGUCCUUCAGUCGUGGUGGAGACAUCUCCACGUUUCUUUUUGAAAAUCACUGAGAAUCAAAGAGGAGUGCAGAGCCUUCAUUCUACGCACUCACUUCAUGCAGAAAUUGUAAUAA
Molecule: long non-coding RNA, 1603 nt
Organism: Oryzias javanicus (javanese ricefish)
Lineage: Eukaryota; Metazoa; Chordata; Actinopteri; Beloniformes; Adrianichthyidae
Source: Ensembl